This 497-nucleotide ribosomal RNA is filed under the name uncultured bacterium. Its description in RNAcentral is "partial 16S ribosomal RNA". It matches the Rfam family "Bacterial small subunit ribosomal RNA", at positions 28 to 507 of the family's 1533-position model. The record is from RNAcentral.
GAUGAACGCUGGCGGCGUGCCUAAUACAUGCAAGUCGAGCGAACAGACGAGGAGCUUGCUCCUCUGACGUUAGCGGCGGACGGGUGAGUAACACGUGGAUAACCUACCUAUAAGACUGGGAUAACUUCGGGAAACCGGAGCUAAUACCGGAUAAUAUAUUGAACCGCAUGGUUCAAUAGUGUAAGACGGUUUUGCUGUCACUUAUAGAUGGAUCCGCGCCGCAUUAGCUAGUUGGUAAGGUAACGGCUUACCAAGGCAACGAUGCGUAGCCGACCUGAGAGGGUGAUCGGCCACACUGGAACUGAGACACGGUCCAGACUCCUACGGGAGGCAGCAGUAGGGAAUCUUCCGCAAUGGGCGAAAGCCUGACGGAGCAACGCCGCGUGAGUGACGAAGGUCUUCGGAUCGUAAAACUCUGUUAUUAGGGAAGAACAAAUGUGUAAGUAACUAUGCACGUCUUGACGGUACCUAAUCAGAAAGCCACGGCUAACUACGUG